CUCUUUUGGGAUAAAAUAGGU
This 21-nucleotide small nuclear RNA is filed under the name Arabidopsis thaliana (thale cress). Its description in RNAcentral is "snRNA_08766". The record is from RNAcentral. Lineage: Eukaryota; Viridiplantae; Streptophyta; Magnoliopsida; Brassicales; Brassicaceae.